UGGUGAGGAGCCCCUGCAGUGGCCAGGAGAGCGGGGGUGACGGAGAAGCCAUCGGCGUGGGGCUGUGAUGGAGGCAGAGCCGCGGGACCUGCUGAGGACUCCGGGACAGCGUCUGGCUUUUUGACUGAGGGUGGCAAGGCCACCCACGAGAAGAGAACUCUGGUGGAGGCCAGGCUGCCAGGCCAGAAAGGCAGCUGGAGUAGAGGACCCAGAUGGACUGAACAAGGCGAGGGGGCCGGGCCGCAGCUGCUUUCCUGCGGGCAGGAGGGGGCCAUCCUGGAACGGCUGAG
This is a long non-coding RNA of Hippopotamus amphibius kiboko, 290 nucleotides long. RefSeq lists it as uncharacterized. The record is from RefSeq and is a predicted model, not a curated record. The transcript has 3 exons. Lineage: Eukaryota; Metazoa; Chordata; Mammalia; Artiodactyla; Hippopotamidae.